This 179-nucleotide non-coding RNA is filed under the name Lacisediminimonas sp. RNAcentral describes it as "6S RNA". It matches the Rfam family "6S / SsrS RNA". Rfam says of the family: E. coli 6S RNA was the first non coding RNA to be sequenced, but its function was unknown until recently. It consists of 184 nucleotides that fold into an extended hairpin structure with a large single-stranded internal bulge. Lineage: Bacteria; Pseudomonadati; Pseudomonadota; Betaproteobacteria; Burkholderiales; Oxalobacteraceae. The record is from RNAcentral.
UUACUCCUGCCGUGUUCGCCAUUGCCAUAUAUUCCUUGAACCUUUCAAGUGCAACGGCUGCGGAACAAGGUUGACGGGUGUGAGCGUCGCUAGUCCGACGAACCCGAAGUUGACAUGACUGUGGCCACUCUGAACCAUAAGGUUCGGGAUGCCGGCAAAGCGGCACUGGCGGGAAACCA